This 30-nucleotide non-coding RNA is filed under the name Rattus norvegicus (Norway rat). The record is from RNAcentral. Lineage: Eukaryota; Metazoa; Chordata; Mammalia; Rodentia; Muridae.
UUCCAGAUGAUUGCUAACUUGUGUGUGUGU